This 623-nucleotide ribosomal RNA is filed under the name Enterobacteriaceae bacterium L74. Its description in RNAcentral is "partial 16S ribosomal RNA". It matches the Rfam family "Bacterial small subunit ribosomal RNA", at positions 456 to 1066 of the family's 1533-position model. Lineage: Bacteria; Pseudomonadati; Pseudomonadota; Gammaproteobacteria; Enterobacterales; Enterobacteriaceae. The record is from RNAcentral.
CUANCAGUGCUUCNNANGUUAGCUCGCANAAANAANGCCCCGNGCUUANUUNCCNUGGCCUGCANCCGNCGGUNAUAUGGAGGGUNCAAGCNGUUAAUNCGGAAUUACNNGGGCGUAAAGCGCNCGCAGGUCGGUUGAANUAAGUCAGAUGGGAAAUCCCCGAGCUUAACUUGGGAACUGCAUUUGAAACUGGUCAGCUAGAGUCUUGUAGAGGGGGGUAGAAUUCCAGGUGUAGCGGUGAAAUGCGUAGAGAUCUGGAGGAAUACCGGUGGCGAAGGCGGCCCCCUGGACAAAGACUGACGCUCAGGUGCGAAAGCGUGGGGAGCAAACAGGAUUAGAUACCCUGGUAGUCCACGCUGUAAACGAUGUCGACUUGGAGGUUGUGCCCUUGAGGCGUGGCUUCCGGAGCUAACGCGUUAAGUCGACCGCCUGGGGAGUACGGCCGCAAGGUUAAAACUCAAAUGAAUUGACGGGGGCCCGCACAAGCGGUGGAGCAUGUGGUUUAAUUCGAUGCAACGCGAAGAACCUUACCUACUCUUGACAUCCAGAGAAUUUNNNAGAGAUANNUUAGUGCCUUCGGGAACUCUGAGACAGGUGCUGCAUGGCUGUCGUCAGCUCGNGUU